Molecule: ribosomal RNA, 465 nt
Filed under: uncultured bacterium
Lineage: Bacteria
Description: partial 16S ribosomal RNA
Rfam family: Bacterial small subunit ribosomal RNA
Source: RNAcentral
CCUACGGGAGGCAGCAGUAGGGAAUCUUCCACAAUGGGCGAAAGCCUGAUGGAGCAACGCCGCGUGGGUGAAGAAGGUCUUCGGAUCGUAAAACCCUGUUGUAAGAGAAGAAAGUGCGCGAGAGGAACUGUUCACGUUUCGACGGUAUCUUACCAGAAAGCCACGGCUAACUACGUGCCAGCAGCCGCGGUAAUACGUAGGUGGCAAGCGUUAUCCGGAUUUAUUGGGCGUAAAGGGCACGCAGGCGGUUGUUUAAGUCUGAUGUGAAAGCCUUGGGCUUAACCGGAGUAGUGCAUUGGAUACUGGCAGACUUGAGUGAGGAAGAGGGGAGUGGAAUUCCAUGUGUAGCGGUGAAAUGCGUAGAUAUAUGGAAGAACACCAAUGGCGAAGGCAGCUUUCUGGUCUGUAACUGACGCUGAGGUUCGAAAGCGUGGGGAGCAAACAGGAUUAGAUACCCUGGUAGUC